Podarcis muralis (Common wall lizard) is the source of this 6978-nucleotide RNA transcript. It is a transcript of the gene named testis expressed metallothionein like protein, with no coding region annotated. The record is from RefSeq and is a predicted model, not a curated record. Lineage: Eukaryota; Metazoa; Chordata; Lepidosauria; Squamata; Lacertidae.
UACUUAGAUUGAUCUUAUACUGAUUUUUAAAAGGGCUUUUGAUAAUGAAAAAUGCAACAAUAUGCAUGGAUAGUAAUGAGUAAUUAAUUAUCUUUUUAUUUAUGUAUUUAUGUAUAACCAGAAGCUUUAAGACACUGAACCUAUUUCCAUUUCUAAUUGGAAUGUGAAAACUGGCAUUGGUUAGUAUGCACAUUUUUAUUUAAUAUUUGUUCUCUCAGGCUUUCUAUUCCAUACUAACUGCAUUCAGAAGUGGUACAUUCCAGACUUUAAAAGCAGUGAAAAGCACUUCACCCCCUCGGUUCUUUUUCCAAUGCAUGGAUUUAGGUAUAUGCUAUUUAAUCACAAAAGGUGGAAUAUUUGGAACUGAACUCAUUUUCUGUGGAAGUGUUUUUUAUCUUAUAUUUUGGAAAUGUAGACCUUUUUUCCCUUUAAAUUUUUUGGGGGCCCCCAAGAGAGUGGGGCCCUAAACUCUAGCUUUUAUAGGUAAAUCCGGCACUGAUAUUAUCUGCGCAUCUUCGGCGGGGAAUGUUCCUUAUUCUGGAACUUCCCUCAUGCCAUUCUGCGCCUUCUUUUUCACUGAUCCUCAGGCGUUUUUAAGCGAACGUCCCCUUAUUAAAAGAAGAGAGAAAACCAGCAAAGCCCCUAGAUUCUCAGCCGCUGCCUCAAGAAAAACAGGCGCCGGCUGGGAAAGGGAAGAGGCGUUUUAACAAUCGCAAAUAAGUUGCUUCGUUUGCUGAUUAAAGGCGGCUGUGUGAUUCUUGCCCUAAUAUCGAAAGGGGUUGAGAUUGGGAAAGAAGAGGCGGGAAAGCUGUGUUCUUUUCCCUUCAGCGCCCAGCGUGAAUCCACUCCGCUCAAAGAUGCGAGCGGGCCGUGUGGCUUUUGCAGGCGCGCGGAGAAGCGCUGAGGGAAAACUGCCCGGAGGGAGAUCCGCCCCCCUCGGCGGGGCUGCUUAGCGGGAAGCGGCUUUCCCCGCGCGCUGGCCCUCGCGGGCGCUUCUGCGCUUAAAACUCCCCGGCCAACGGCUCCUUGGCACCCCUUCGGCGAGCGCUGCUCAUAAUGCAGUGCUGAUGAUGGAGGGGAAAAGGCGGGAAUCUGCGGAGGGGGAAGCUGAAACAGCUACCAAGAUGAAAAUUGGCCCAGGACAAAUAGAUGUCUCUACAGAGAUCAAAUACUACCAAUCUGAAAGUUUAACUGUACCUAUGGAAAGUCAUAUAACUUUUAGUAGAAUUUCAAGAAUAGAUAAUGGACUUGUGAAGACCUUUAAUUCUGAAAUUCUUAGUCCAAAGAAUGAUUUAAUUAAUAAACCAGUUGAAGAAGAAUUCUAUUCCAGUCAAGACACCUAUUUAAGUUCUAUGGCUGAAGCUGCACUGAAUUGCGGGAAACAUACUCUGAAUAGAGAAAAUGAACAUGCAAUGUUUGAAGUUAAAAUGCAGCCAUGUACACAAGAGUUUUGUGAUGAAGUCCUUGGAAAAUAUCAGAAAUUACCAGAAGCGACUCUUUCAGAAGUGACAACAUGUGCAUAUUUACCACAAUUGCAACUGUGCUCACAGAAUAUCAAUUUUCCAUCUUCCAUAAUGACAGAACAUAGAGGUUCCAUGCUAUCUCUUGGCACCAGUACUGCUGAUGGAGCAGUCAAUACAAAUGUAGACAUGAUACCAGUAUUGAGAACAAUAACUUCAACUGCAGAUGCAAAGAACUGUGUUUCUUGUGACCAAAUCAAAGGAAUUAUGAAUAGUUCUACUGUGUCACAAGCCAUACCAGAGUGUUCUGGUGAAUCAUGCAAUGGUAUCACUGUUUCAUCUCAGGAUACUGCUGCUGUUUGUGAUGAGAUUGCUGAGGUCAGAGAAGCAGUUGUUAGCAUUACAGCUAAUAAUUCAGAUGAAGCAGUUUUUCAAAAUUCAAAUGGUGAAGAAAUCAGCCAUAACCUAGCAGCUUCACAAAAUGCAAUGGAGGAACCUACCUGUUCACAGAGAAAUUAUGCCAGUCCUCAAGUGAUCAUCUGCCAGUUGAAGGGUGGUACUCAUAUACUUUGUAUAAACAAUACAGACACAAGAGAAUUAAAAGCAGUUCAUUUGGUCCCCCAGUAUCAAGACCAGCCUAAGUAUCCUCAGACAGAUGCAAGUAAUUCUGUAACAUCUGUACUGGGACAGUUUUUACCAGUUGGAGGUAAACUGAAUGUCUGUGCACAAGAGCUUGAUAAUGGAUCCAUAUAUACAUGCCAUUCAGAUAAAAAUCUUCAAGAGCCAACAAAACUGACCUUAGUUGGGUUACCUUGCAGCUCCUGGGAUACAAAGUCAAAAAAGCCAUGCAACUGCACUAAAUCACAGUGUCUCAAAUUAUACUGUGAUUGCUUUGCCAAUGGUGAUUUCUGCAGUAACUGCAACUGCAAUAAUUGUUAUAACAAUCCACAACAUGAACUAGAGAGGAUUAAGGCAAUUAAGGCUUGUCUUGACCGAAAUCCAGAAGCUUUCCUGCCAAAGAUUGGAAAAGGGAAACUAGGAGAUAUCAAGCCCAGACAUAAUAAAGGAUGUAAUUGUAAGCGGUCAGGGUGCCUAAAAAAUUACUGUGAAUGCUUUGAGGCUAAAAUCAUGUGUUCAUCUAUCUGCAAGUGUGUUGGUUGCAAAAAUUAUGAAGAAAGCCCAGAUCGAAAAACACUAAUGAAUAUACCAAACUAUAUGGAAAUUAAAAGUUAUGAAGGAAAUGGCUCUGUAUCAUUUUCUAAUUUUGAAAUAUUAUCAAAAAGCAGAAAAGACAGGCAGUCUAGUACAUGUAUAUCAUGGGAAGUGGUUGAGGCAACAUGUGCCUGUCUUCUUGCUCAAGCUGAAGAGGCAGAAAAAGAAGCUUACUCUAUUUGCCUAGCAGAACAAAUGAUCUUAGAAGAAUUUGGAAGAUGCUUAUCACAGAUUCUGCACUCUGAAUUUAAAUCCAAAGGGCUGAAAGUUGAAUAAUCUGCUCUGGAUACAAAUGCACAAUGAACUGCAGUAAUGCUUGAAAUAGCCUUUGGUGUUGAUAAUAUUGAUAAAAAACAACUUACCAUUCUUAUUCUCAUAUCAUUGCUAUUUUUUAUUUCCAUAUAAUGCUAGUAGUGGCCAGGAUGGAGCUGCAUUGCUUACCUGGCUUCCCAAGCCAAAGGUCAUUGUAAGUAACCAAGACGGGGAGUAGGGUGGCAGUAGGGAGGUCAACAUGGUGCAGGUUAAUAUUCCAGAUUAACAGUAUAAUUAAAUGCAUGUAAACUAAAUUAUUUUGGUUUAUAAAUUAAAAUUUCUCAUCUUUCUGCUACUAUAGGCUCAAAUAGAUUAACAAACACAGAUUUAGAUGUAUUCCAGAUAACUGGCUUGUGGAAUACACAUUAUAUAAUUUCUAAAUUACUCUGAAUUAAAUUUGAUUAGAUGCAAGCUCAAUACGUGAAAAUAAUUCCUAGUUAAAAUAUUUUUGUUUGAGUCAAGGACACUCACUCAAAACUUCCCUCCAAGUUUAAUCAUUUCACAGAUUUAAAUGAAAAUUAGCCUGAUUAACGGUGCUGUAAAAAUGGGAGUGCCUCAGAUGUAAUUUGGUUUCUAUUUAUCUUAAUGUUGAAUUGUUUUAAAAGAUUGCUUUUCAUUUACUGUACUUUACUAGUUUUGUAACGAGGAAAACUGCUAGAAAUUUUAGCUAAUGCAACCCUUUAUUAAGAAUUUUUUCUUGUGCUAAAAGAGAAACAUGCAGUACAUGUGAAAGUAAAACAUUGAAUUCAUGACAUUUGUGUCACAAUCCGAAUGAUUUGCACCUCUGUGUAGCAAAACUUGCAUUAAAGUUGAUGUUUAGUAAAUAUAUAUCCUUUAAAAAGUUUUUAAAAUUUUUGUUUUCAAGGAACAAUUCAGAAGCUACUUAAUACUGGUACAGCCGCAUAAAGGACAAGCCUACUGUACUAUGCACCACUGGUAAUAGUUCAUUUCAGUUAGUUUACAUGCAGUGCAGUCCUAUGCCUGUCUGUUCAGGCAAGUAAGGGUGUGUAAUACUGCAGCUUUAACCUUUUGAUAUUGCUACAGAGCAGAGCAAUUUGUUCACAAUAGUUAUGGAAUCCUUAGCUGAACUCUAUUUUAAUUGCUUAUUCAUUGCUUUUCAUUUUAUAUGAGCCUUCUGAAAAUUUCUCCCAAUACCUGCAUGGCAUCACAAAAUUUAUUUUAUAGCCUGUUGAGGUUUAAGGAAACCCAGAUAGAUGAGGACAGUAAUGUCUUAUUUUACAAGUGUGGAUGAGAUAAGAUUUCUCACUUUCUAAUCAUUUACUUAGGCUUCUGUGCUUCUUACUAUUUAUAUUAAUAGUACCUUUUAAGAUUGUGCUAAAUGAAUGAACACCUUCACAUCCCAGAAACUAUCACAGAGGCAAUUACCAACUUCCUCUUCAUAAGUAUGUGGUUCAACUUACCUCAUUUCCUGAUGUCAUUAUUUUGUCCAGUAUUGGCCUGCUGGUGCCUGGUGAAUGAUGGGGAAAUGUUCCAAACCUGUUCCAUGGGAGUCAGCCAGUGUUGAACUUUGCUGUGGUGCGAGCCAAGCAAGCAAGGUCUCACUGGGGGACCAGGGUGCAGAUUCCAACCAGACAGAUACUGACAGCUUUUUCCCAUGAGCCCAUCACACAGAGAAGAUACUGGGCAAAACCUUGCCCAAUAUUUUGCUGCAAUCUAUGGGUCACAGCGCCGCCGGGCAAAGGCACCCCGUGCUUAUUGGGCACAGAAAGGGGCAUCUGAAAGUGACACUUAUAAUGCUGUUUGAAAGAUGUUGGUCCUUGUGACUCUAUUGGCCUUACUCUUUUUUUACUGCAGUUUUGCUGUCUGUAAAAUGGACAUAUUUGGUUGCUUAAAUUUCAUAAAGAUGAUUGAUUGUACAAUGCUAGCAUAUGAGACCUUGAUUUUAAGAGACCCCACUGUAAUGCAAACAAAACACUAUUCUUUUAGGGUGAUAAAAGACAUGUGGAUUAGUCCUGAAAAGCCAAAUACUACCCUGAGAGCACAUAUCAAAAUAAUGCUUUUCAUGAAUCUUAAUUACGGGAUAGCAAAAAUCUACAUUAUAUUAUCCACUUCAGAUACAAAUGUGACUCACUAUUCAAUUACUACAAUCAGUACUCAUUUAGGAGCAACUCUAACACACUGUCUCUUUGUGAACCAUUUUUGUCAGAGUAAUUACAUUAGUAAUAGCUGAUUACACAGCAGUCUUAUGUUCCUAUGAAAUUAACGUAAUUACAGCAGCUACAAACACAUCUGUCUAUAUUACACUCUAAUAAGAAAACUAGUCAGAAGGCGUGCUAUGUUUACAAUGUAUUUAAAGCUAAAGAUCACUGUGGUAAAAUUAUAUUGUUAAGGGAAAGUUUUGGAGAGCUAGGAAGAACUUGCAUCGGGUGAUAUAUGUAUUCCACAGAACAAAUGGAUUUUAAACAAAAAACUUUUAUCUCUCACUGAAUGGGGCAAAAAAAAAGUGUAUUAACUUUUUUAAAAAUUACAAAAUGCUUCCCAUGUACUUUUAUUACCAAUAUUUUUGAUAAUGGUAUUCUGCAGUAUAUAAAUUACUAGAAUAUGUAGACUGUCCAGGGGAUCCUGUGUGGGUCAAAGACUUUUGCAGGAAGUCCAGAAGUUGUCUGGUUCCCUGUUACCAUGAAUGAAAUGACAAUAACACUGUUGAAGUGGGUAGAACGGUCAGGAGAUGCCACCAACUGUCAGAAGACAGCGUCAGCAGGGGCUUCUGCAGCACUACCCAGAUUUUCUGAGACCCCAAAUGCCAGGACACUGAGUGGGGAAGAUGAUUAGUGGGAGAUGGAUAUUCCUAGAAUCAGACUGGCAUUCAUAGGCUUUGUAUACACCAUAUGUUUAAAGUACAUCAUGUUCCCCAAAGGAUCCUGAUAACGGUAGUUUAUGAAAUGUGGUGUGAAUUGUAGCUCCUUGGACUAUGUUAGAGGUGGAAAGGAGCCGUACGGGGCAGCUUUGAAGACCGGUGCUGGGAGGGAGAAGCGGUUUCCGUUGACUAGUAACCACUUCUGCCUUCUUGAGCAAGGUGUGUGGAGUGUGACUUGCUCCAGGAAAGGAACAAUUUGGAGCCAAGGUUAAGCUCCUGACUGUUCCUUUGAAGACACACCUUAAUCAACACUGCCCCUGAUGUCACACAUUGCAUUAGCUGUAGCGUGGGUGGAUAAGGUUUCCCCAAAAUGCCCUUGUGUCCAAAAGGGGAUGUCAUGUCAGGUUUGACCCAUGGGGUAGAGUUUACCCACCCUUGGCUUAAGGGGCUAAUCUCCUGCUCUGCAGGCCAUUGAGAUUGGAACUGCUCAUUAUUAACAACUGAUUGCCUAUCAUAGGUUUACAUUUUGUUUUUUUAGUUCAAACAUGGUUGCUUUGUGGGAUGGCAGGCUGUUCUGAUAGAGGGUCAAAAAUUCAGCCCAGGGAUUUGAUACUUAAGGAGGAAAUGAAACCAAAAGAUCUAAAGAAGAGGGAGGGAGAAACUUAACAUACUGUAUUAUAAUAAAGAGAAAUUGAAGUAGAGUUGUGCUGCCCUUCUGAUUGGCUAUGACAUUGCAAGUUGGAGUUGAAAUAUUAUAUAUAAAUCAAAUGGGCAAAUAAACUUAAGUUACAGUUUGAGCACUUUUGGAGAAAGAAGGAGCUGAAAUCGAAAGACAAGCCAAGAUGGAAGGGGCUGCAGCGGACCAGAACUCCAGAAUUUGAAAGGAAAGGGCUGGAAAUGGCUUUAACUGCUAAGUUUUAACAUCUGUAAUAUAGAUUCUAUAAGAAGCCGUUGAGAGCAAGGGAUUUGGAGUACAGUGUCACUGUUGUACUAAUGUCACCCAGCACUAUUUCUCUGUUACAAAUGAGUCAGGUGUGGUUGUACAGGUCCAGUGCCUGAAUGUAGUGGUGGACUAGAUGAUAGGGAUAGGUGAAUAUGUUGAUUUUGGUUUUUCUCAGCUUCUCAUUUUUCCAGUGUGAAGUUCAGUUUUUCACGUUUUUUCACAUUUUUUUCUGG